RNAcentral lists this ribosomal RNA (303 nucleotides) under uncultured bacterium. RNAcentral's name for it is "partial 16S ribosomal RNA". It matches the Rfam family "Bacterial small subunit ribosomal RNA", at positions 507 to 807 of the family's 1533-position model. The record is from RNAcentral.
AGCAGCCGCCACGGUAAUACGGAGGGGGCUAGCGUUGUUCGGAAUUACUGGGCGUGAAGCGCACGUAGGCGGCUUGGUAAGUUAGAGGUGAAAGCCCGGAGCUCAACUCCGGAAUUGCCUUUAAGACUGCCGAGCUAGUAGGUGAGAGAGGUAAGUGGAAUUCCGAGUGUAGAGGUGAAAUUCGUAGAUAUUCGGAAGAACACCAGUGGCGAAGGCGGCUUACUGGCUCAUUCUAGGCGCUGAGGUGCGAAAGCGUGGGGAGCAAACAGGAUUAGAGACCCGCGUAGUCCCUGUCUCUUAUAC